Marmota monax (woodchuck) is the source of this 2160-nucleotide long non-coding RNA. RefSeq lists it as uncharacterized. NCBI's taxonomy places the organism in Eukaryota, Metazoa, Chordata, Mammalia, Rodentia, Sciuridae. The transcript has 3 exons. The record is from RefSeq and is a predicted model, not a curated record.
AACAUAAAGCCUUGAGGAGAGAGAGUUCCUGAAUAUUGAGAAGUUAAUAUUGAAUACGGGCGGUAGAUGAUGCAGGUGUUCCCAGAAAGAGGCAAUUGCCCAUGAAGGUGAAGUCAUGAAAGUCAUCACAGGAGACUCUCAUGAUUGGAGGUGAACCUCCAGUCAGACCUCAGAGGAAGCGGGGGUGGAACCCACAGAGGGACUGGAGGAGGGCAUGCCUGGGGGAGACCCGGUGUUAACAAGGUCCAGAGCACAGAACAUAGGGGAAGACACAGACGGUCCAUCUGGCUGAAUUUGAAGGGUCUGAGAAGCACAGGAGAAGAAAAGGUUCACGUCUCCCUUGGAAUUAGGCCUGGUGUGAGGUGUGCGUUGGUUGGAGAAAUGUCAGUGGAAGGGACGCGUGUCACCUCCCAGCGGAGGCAUCUAAGAGCCGCCUGCAUUUCUCCACACUCUGUUCCCUGCUGUCGUGCUGCUGGAAGACAAGUUAACAUGGACGUGCUGCGAGAUCAAAGCCUCCUGGAAUGCUGAGCCGCAUAUGGAGGGCAGCUGCCGGGAGGAAUUUCCCAGACCCUCAGCCCACUAAUGUGCACGAGAAGGCUUUGUCUUCUGUGUGCCUGGUACAUGCUGCUCAGCAACAUUCACAUGGGCCCGUGAGCCAAGCGUGUCGGGAGCUGCUAGCUCCAUUUUUGGCCCAAUUUUUGGAUUUAAAUGCAGGUACCAUCUUCAAGGACCUUCCAGAAGAAGAUUAAAAAGAAAAUACAUCAGAAACACCACGUACAUCCCCCGUGGCAGCUCUGGUGAUCAUGCUCUUAUUCAGAGAUACACGUUGUUUUGGAGAUGGGAAAAGGCUGAGCUGGAAAGAAACUGGGUUCAUAUUGGAAUUCACUGUCUACAUAAAUGUUUAUGAAAGUUUAAUUCUGCAAGCCAAGCUCGAAGCAUAUUGUCUACUACUAACAAUCGUACUCUAAAGUUUCAUAAGAUUCUGAAAAUUGGGUUUUUUUCUGCCUUCCCCACAACAACCCAGCUCCAAGAGAAGAACAUGGCUACCGGGGGGAUUGGGUGGGGAGGGAAGCUGGCUUCUGCAACUGGAGAAUGAACGAAAACAGCUUGGAGGAGGAGCCCAGACUCACAAGGGAGAGUGAGAUAAACAUCCAGCAGCGUCUUGGCAGCGAGGAGUACAGGACAUCUGCUCCGGGGAUGUUGACACUUAUCUAAGGGCUGGGCAGGAACCAGCAAAGUCCAACCUGCAGGAACCUAACUGGUCUUAACCUGGGCUUUUGAGAUCAAAAGCAUGGCUCGUGCCACAUCAAAGGUACCACCAUGUUCAGCCCAGAAGCUCCUGCUGUAGUACUGUGGCCAUCGAUAGCUUUGUUCCCAGAACUCUUUGGCAGAGUUGGCAUCCUUCACCGAGGUGCUGAAAGCUCAGGAAAGCCCCCUGCAUGUGACCCUCUGAAGAAUGUUCACUUUCUGAGACAGCUUACCUCCCACCAAUUAGGAUGCAAGGAUUUAUAGCAUACCUUCCCAGAGAGGUUCAGAAACCUUGGAGAUACUGACUCAGUUUCUAGCACAGUCAGCUAGGUGAUGAUAGAGAACAACCUACAAGAGAAGUUACGCUUUUCUCUCCAGCUGCUAGAACCAUGGUCAAUGCAAAAUGUAAAAUGCUGGAUUCUGCUAACUUUUGGAAGGGAGCAAGGAAAAAAUGGACACAUAUCUAAUCCUUUGUACUUGCCUUUCCCCCUACCCUACUCCAGAGGGGAAAAGCCUUCUGCCACAUCAAAAUCAACUCCUUAAUUGAGUUAAUACCUGCACUAUGGGGGCCUAGAUUGGGUGCUGGGUGAGAUACAAAGUUGCAUUGGCUAUGGGUACGACCUCAAGAAGCCAAAGUCCAGUGGGCCAGACAGACUGGGGACAUAAUCAUUACCAAUACCAGGCAGAAGUGAUAGUUAAAACACUAACUAAGGUAAUUUAGAGGAAAGAAAGAUUUAUAGAUAAGACAACAGUUAAAUAUGAAUCUCAGAUAAUACUGCAUAACUUUUUAGUAUGUCACAAAUAUUACUUGAGAUACCAGUCCCAAGGGGGGGCUGGUUCCAGGACUCCCCAAGGAUACCAAAAUCUGUGGGUGCUCAAAUCCUUUGUAUAAAAUGGUGUAACAUCUGCAUA